GGGGUGGCUCGAGUGGCGAACGGGUGAGUAACACGUGAGUAACCUGCCCUUGACUUUGGGAUAACUUCAGGAAACUGGGGCUAAUACCGGAUAGGAGCUACUGCUGCAUGGUGGGGGUUGGAAAGUUUCGGCGGUUGGGGAUGGACUCGCGGCUUAUCAGCUUGUUGGUGGGGUAGUGGCUUACCAAGGCUUUGACGGGUAGCCGGCCUGAGAGGGUGACCGGCCACAUUGGGACUGAGAUACGGCCCAG
RNAcentral lists this ribosomal RNA (250 nucleotides) under uncultured Actinomycetales bacterium. RNAcentral's name for it is "partial 16S ribosomal RNA". It matches the Rfam family "Bacterial small subunit ribosomal RNA", at positions 83 to 334 of the family's 1533-position model. Lineage: Bacteria; Bacillati; Actinomycetota; Actinomycetes; Actinomycetales. The record is from RNAcentral.